AGUAGUACUUAUCGUUCCAGCUAACAUAUUUCUUUUUCAACUAUUGACAACGAAAUACCGUAAUGGAAUUGAUUAGUUGCUACUUCAAUCUUAAUCAACUAGUAUAAAUAAUACCCAAGUCUUAUUUUCCAUCAUCAGAAUUUUACCUUAUCUUAAAAAACACAAAAAAAACACAUUCAAAUGGCGAGAGCUACCAUAUCCACGUUCAUCAUGAUCGCCUUUGUGUUAGCUGUUUUCCUCAACAUCUCAGCCCUCGCGGUCGCCGUUGAUGCUACAUGUAUGACGGCAGGCCAAGGUUGUGGUGGUUUUGCUGGAGCCGAAUGCUGCGAAGGACUUGAAUGUGAACUUGAGGAAUAUUCGACUUAUGGGGCAUGUGUACAAAGUCCCGACAAACCAAGUUAUUAACACGCUACUUUCCACUGAAUAUGGAACGAAGUGCUUCUCAUGUUUUUUAAGUUUCAUCUGUAAUUCUCUUUGUUAAUUGUUGAGGAAAUACAUGAUGAAAUAAAUUUACUCAAUAAUAUAAUAGUUGAUCUGUCUUCUUUCAAAUUUCAAUCAAGGAAUUUUGGAAGAUAAUUUUGUUUA
Molecule: long non-coding RNA, 585 nt
Organism: Beta vulgaris subsp. vulgaris (sugar beet)
Lineage: Eukaryota; Viridiplantae; Streptophyta; Magnoliopsida; Caryophyllales; Amaranthaceae
Exons: 2
Source: RefSeq, a predicted model, not a curated record